UACGAAGGGGGCUAGCGUUGCUCGGAAUUACUGGGCGUAAAGGGCGCGUAGGCGGGUCGUUAAGUCAGAGGUGAAAGCCCAGGGCUCAACCCUGGAAUUGCCUUUGAUACUGGCGACCUUGAGUAUGGCAGAGGUGUGUGGAACUCCGAGUGUAGAGGUGAAAUUCGUAGAUAUUCGGAAGAACACCAGUGGCGAAGGCGACACACUGGGCCAUUACUGACGCUGAGGCGCGAAAGCGUGGGGAGCAAAC
Molecule: ribosomal RNA, 250 nt
Filed under: uncultured bacterium
Lineage: Bacteria
Description: partial 16S ribosomal RNA
Rfam family: Bacterial small subunit ribosomal RNA
Source: RNAcentral